Long non-coding RNA from Papaver somniferum (opium poppy), 2124 nucleotides. RefSeq lists it as uncharacterized. The transcript has 11 exons. NCBI's taxonomy places the organism in Eukaryota, Viridiplantae, Streptophyta, Magnoliopsida, Ranunculales, Papaveraceae. The record is from RefSeq and is a predicted model, not a curated record.
UUCACUCAUUUUUCUUCUUCUCUAUUUUCUCUUUUUUUUUUUCUCUCUGGCGAUUCUGAGGCGAUUCUGAGAAGUGAAAAUCAUUAUAGGAAAAUAGAGAAUGGACCUGUAUAGAUGUUGAGAGGUGAUGCUGUAAUUUUUGAUUUACGAAGGAGGACGUGUAGGAGUUUUAGGUUUUCGGUGAGAGAUGAUGUAUCAGGGAGAGAGAUAGGGUUAAGGUCUGUUUUUGAUGUGAAGAAAUCAUGAAAGGAUGAUGGAUCUGUUGAGGAUCCCGAUGAUUUAUGGUGCUGCUGUUAAAUCAAGUGUUGAUUCAACUCAGCAAAAAUGAUGAAGAGGGAAGAUAAUGAGAAACUAAUGUUCCUGCCAAGGGUAUGAUGGUGCCGUGGAGGAGGAACAGGAGAAUGAGAAUUUCAGCAGUGUAAUUAAGGCGAAGAGAUGAGAGGAAAGGGGGAAAUUUAUGAGAAUAAGGGUUUAGGAUAAAAAACAGAAGGUGGAAUCAUUGAUUUAGAAGAUUCAAAUACAGGGUGGAAGGAGGAGAGGAUAAAUAAGAAUUGUGCUAGUGGAAGUACAAGUAUAAGCAGAAGUAGAAGAAGACCACCUCCACAUUCUUCUUCUUGUUCUGCAGAAUGGGUUUCUAUGGAUGAGCGAAGAAAGAUUUCUGUGGAGAUAUCAAAGAAGAACAAAAGAAAAGAAGAGGACUUCUUAAAUUGAAAUACAAAGGGGCGGUAAUGUGAGUUUUCCAUUUCCUGCCCACGUAAUAGAGAAGCGAGAAGAAUUGGAUUUUGGGGGUUCUCAAGCGUAACAUCUCCGGGUAGGAUUAACCAACUCCAUACUACUCAUUCUUGGGGUUACAGCGAUAAUAUUAGUCAGGUGUACGGCGUGUUUUAAUGGAGAUGGUGGUGGUGGUGAUUCGUUAUAUAAGACAGUUGAAGUUCCUAGCUCCUGCAACGUGAUUAUUGAAGGCAUCUAUGAUUUGAGUGAAAAAUUGCGUCCUCUUUUAGACCUCCGGGUAUCUGUGACAGGUGGUAUUCACUUGUAGUUGUCAUUGCUGAAGUCUUAUUACGUUAAUUUCAUUGAUUAGAGUUGACACUUAUCGUCGUACUUGUUUUUGUAAUAUGUAUUGCACUUUCAUGUCAUUAAUGUUACUAUUUGGUGUUGUAUUUUUUGGUUGUUGCCGGGGAGCCUUCUAAAUGACAAUUAGACUGUUAAGUGCUGAAACCUUGGGGUUGCAAAACAUCCAAGUUUGUAUUAAAAUAGUGCAGGCAUUAAUGUUAGCAUCUUUCCUUCAGCUCACAUCAAGCUUGGGUUUUAUCAUGUUUCGGUAUCUCCAAUGUAGACGAAGUUAACUCACUUGUCAAACAUUUCGAAUAUGAGAUACUAAGAAGUUCUUUAUUUCCCACUUUUGAAUGUAAGGCUGUGGAGAUAAAUCCCAAUGGAAGUAUCAAUAAGAAGGAUCUUUGAGCAUUUCUAAAAUGGGACGCUGUCCAUCUCGAUUUUCCAUCCUGGAAGAAUCUGAAGCUGCCACUCCAACUGACGAGUUGGAGCCUAUAUGAUCCAACUAUAGUAAGGCACUGGUUCGUUGAGAGUUGGAGCUUAACUCCUGAAAAGUGCAAUGUCUAUCAGAAACGCGAGACAGAUAUAUCUAUGGAUAUGGAGUUGCAUCAAAAUGUGAGCUUGUCAAAGAUAACCACUUGAUAUCUUACAUGCACCUUCAAGUAUGCCAUUUUGACCAAGAUGGAUGUGCUGAUCUUGAGUAAGCUGUAUAGGAGGCCGGAUCCUCCUGUUGAUAAGGAAGUAGUGGAUAUUCUUAUUUUUAUGAACCUCUUUGAAGGAAGAAAUCAUAACAAGUAAGUCUAUGGAUUACUCACUUUGACUACAAUGCAUUCUACUGGGCAGUUCUAUAUUUUCUGUAGUUUCUUGUAUAAUUCAUUGAAUAUAUGAGGAUUAGUUGGUCAUCCCUUGUUGUGUGAACAUAAACAAUGAGACUUAUCUUCUACAUUGUACCAUGAUAUUUAAAAGUGGUGAACUGACACCAACUUAAGUAAAUGUUUGUAUAAUGAAAGAGAAUAACAAACGGAAAAUAAUAAUAAGAAAAACAAGCAUCAGUUCACACGUAGAGUGUUA